This 468-nucleotide ribosomal RNA is filed under the name uncultured bacterium. RNAcentral's name for it is "partial 16S ribosomal RNA". It matches the Rfam family "Bacterial small subunit ribosomal RNA", at positions 28 to 507 of the family's 1533-position model. The record is from RNAcentral.
GACGAACGCUGGCGGCGUGCUUAACACAUGCAAGUCGAACGGAAAGGCCCUGCUUUUGUGGGGUGCUCGAGUGGCGAACGGGUGAGUAACACGUGAGUAACCUGCCCUUGACUUUGGGAUAACUUCAGGAAACUGGGGCUAAUACCGGAUAGGAGCUCCUGCUGCAUGGUGGGGGUUGGAAAGUUUCGGCGGUUGGGGAUGGACUCGCGGCUUAUCAGCUUGUUGGUGGGGUAGUGGCUUACCAAGGCUUUGACGGGUAGCCGGCCUGAGAGGGUGACCGGCCACAUUGGGACUGAGAUACGGCCCAGACUCCUACGGGAGGCAGCAGGGGGGAAUAUUGCACAAUGGGCGGAAGCCUGAUGCAGCAGCGCCGCGUGCGGGAUGACGGCCUUCGGGUUGUAAACCGAUUUCGCCUGUGACGAAGCGGGAGUGACGGUAAUGGAUAAAAAAGCACCGGCUAACUACGUG